AUACGGAGGGUGCAAGCGUUACUCGGAAUCACUGGGCGUAAAGGACGCGUAGGCGGGUUGGCAAGUCAGAUGUGAAAUCCUACAGCUUAACUGUAGAACUGCAUUUGAAACUGCUAACCUAGAGUAUGGGAGGGGGAGAUGGAAUUAGUGGUGUAGGGGUAAACUCCGUAGAUAUCACUAGGAAUACCGAAAGCGAAGGCGAUCUCCUGGAACAUAACUGACGCUAAGGCGUGAAAGCGUGGGGAGCAAACAGGAUUAGAAACCCCAGUAGUCC
This 274-nucleotide ribosomal RNA is filed under the name uncultured bacterium. Its description in RNAcentral is "partial 16S ribosomal RNA". It matches the Rfam family "Bacterial small subunit ribosomal RNA", at positions 523 to 796 of the family's 1533-position model. The record is from RNAcentral.